Molecule: ribosomal RNA, 720 nt
Filed under: uncultured bacterium
Lineage: Bacteria
Description: bacterial SSU rRNA
Rfam family: Bacterial small subunit ribosomal RNA
Source: RNAcentral
GGCAAACGGGUGAGUAACGCGUGGGCGACCUACCUUCGAGUGGGGGAUAACCUUCCGAAAGGAGGGCUAAUACCGCAUGACAUUCCGUGUUUGGAUACACGGGUAUCAAAGCCGGGGAUCGCAAGACCUGGCGCUUGAAGAGGGGCCCGCGUCCGAUUAGCUAGUUGGUGAGGUGAUGGCUCACCAAGGCGACGAUCGGUAUCCGGCCUGAGAGGGCGGACGGACACACUGGGACUGAGACACGGCCCAGACUCCUACGGGAGGCAGCAGUGGGGAAUUGUUCGCAAUGGGCGCAAGCCUGACGACGCAACGCCGCGUGGAGGAUGAAGACUUUCGGGUCGUAAACUCCUUUCGACCAGGAUGAAUUCCUGUCGACCUAACACGUCGGCAGGGUGACAGUACUGGGAGAAGAAGCCCCGGCUAACUCCGUGCCAGCAGCCGCGGUAAUACGGGGGGGGCAAGCGUUGUUCGGAAUUACUGGGCGUAAAGGGUUCGUAGGUGGCCCGCUAAGUCAGACGUGAAAUCCCUCAGCUCAACUGGGGAACUGCGUCUGAGACUGGAGGGCUUGAGUGCAGGAGAGGAACGCGGAAUUCCAGGUGUAGCGGUGAAAUGCGUAGAUAUCUGGAGGAACACCGGUGGCGAAGGCGGCGUUCUGGACUGCUACUGACACUGAGGAACGAAAGCCAGGGGAGCAAACGGGAUUAGAUACCCCGGUAGUCC